RNAcentral lists this ribosomal RNA (405 nucleotides) under uncultured bacterium. RNAcentral describes it as "bacterial SSU rRNA". It matches the Rfam family "Bacterial small subunit ribosomal RNA", at positions 355 to 776 of the family's 1533-position model. The record is from RNAcentral.
CAGGGAAUCUUGCGCAAUGGGCGAAAGCCUGACGCAGCAACGCCGCGUGGGGGAUGAAGGCCUUCGGGUUGUAAACCCCUUUCAGGAGGGAAGAAAUUGACGGUACCUCCAAAAGAAGCCCCGGCCAACUACGUGCCAGCAGCCGCGGUAAUACGUAGGGGGCGAGCGUUGUCCGGAAUCAUUGGGCGUAAAGAGCUCGUAGGCGGUUCAGCAAGUCGGCUGUGAAAUUCCGAGGCUCAACCUCGGAACUGCAGUCGAUACUGCUGUGACUCGAGUCCGGUAGAGGAGAAUGGAAUUCCCGGUGUAGCGGUGAAAUGCGCAGAUAUCGGGAGGAACACCAGUAGCGAAGGCGGUUCUCUGGGCCGGUACUGACGCUGAGGAGCGAAAGCGUGGGGAGCAAACAGG